This 76-nucleotide transfer RNA is filed under the name Gallionellaceae bacterium. Its description in RNAcentral is "tRNA-Gly". It matches the Rfam family "tRNA". Rfam says of the family: Transfer RNA (tRNA) molecules are approximately 80 nucleotides in length. Their secondary structure includes four short double-helical elements and three loops (D, anti-codon, and T loops). Further hydrogen bonds mediate the characteristic L-shaped molecular structure. tRNAs have two regions of fundamental functional importance: the anti-codon, which is responsible for specific mRNA codon recognition, and the 3' end, to which the tRNAs corresponding amino acid is attached (by aminoacyl-tRNA synthetases). tRNAs cope with the degeneracy of the genetic code in two manners: having more than one tRNA (with a specific anti-codon) for a particular amino acid; and 'wobble' base-pairing, i.e. permitting non-standard base-pairing at the 3rd anti-codon position. Lineage: Bacteria; Pseudomonadati; Pseudomonadota; Betaproteobacteria; Nitrosomonadales; Gallionellaceae. The record is from RNAcentral.
GCGGGCGUAAUUCAGUGGCCAGAAUGUUUGCCUUCCAAGCAGAACGUCGGGAGUUCGACUCUCCCCGCCCGCCCCA